GAGACUUAAAUGUAAGACCUAAAACCAUAAAAACCCUAGAAGAAAACCUAGGCAAUAUCAUUCAGGAUAUAGGCAUGGGCAAAGACUUCAUGACUAAAACACUAAAAGCAAUGGCAACAAAAGGCAAAAUAGACAAAUGGAAUCUAAUUAAACUAAAGAGCUUCUGCACAACAAAAGAAACUAUCAUCAGAGUGAACAGGCAACCUACAGAAUGGGAGAAAAUUUUUGCAAUCUAUCCAUCUGAAAAAGGGUUAAUAUCCAGAAUCUACAAAGAACUUAAACAAAUUUACAAGAAAAAAAACAACCCCAUCAGAAAGUGGGCAAAGGAUAUGAACAGACACCUCUCAAAAGAAGACUUUUACACUGUUAGUAGGAGUGUAAAUUAGUUCAACCAUUGUGGAAGACAGUGUGGCGAUUCCUCAAGGAUCUAGAAUUAGAAAUACCUCUUGACCCAGCAAUCCCAUUACUGGGUAUAUACCCAAAGGAUUAUAAAUCAUGCUACUAUAAAGACACACGCACACAUAUGUUUAUUGCGGCACUAUUCACAAUAGCAAAGACUUGGAACCAACCCAAAGGUCCAUCAAUAAUAGACUGGAUAAAGAAAAUGUGGCACAUGUACAUCACAGAAUACUAUGCAGCCAUAAAAAAGGACGAGUUCAUGCCCUUCGCAGGGCACUCAUAAGUGGGAGUUGAACAAUGAGAACAUAUGGAUACAAGGAGGGGAACAUCAUACACUGGGGCCUAUUGGGGGAGGGAUAGCGUUAGGAGAAAUAUCUGACGUAAUGUAGUAAAUAACAUACAGUAGCAUGAUUCAAUAUUUUUAAAUAAUGAAUGAUAAUAAGGGCUAAAACAUUGUUAUAAUUUUAAAGGCAAGAAAUAUGCCUAAAUUUAGUGGUAAAGGCACAU
RNAcentral lists this long non-coding RNA (906 nucleotides) under Pan troglodytes (chimpanzee). RNAcentral's name for it is "long non-coding RNA NONPTRT017186". Lineage: Eukaryota; Metazoa; Chordata; Mammalia; Primates; Hominidae. The record is from RNAcentral.